GCUCCAAUGGGUCGGCGGUAGACCGGCCUGGUAUUUUCGUCGUCGUGCAUAGUAUUUCAGGCAGAGGUGGGUUCGACUCCCGCUUGGACCG
This is a non-coding RNA of Mycena galopus ATCC 62051, 91 nucleotides long. Lineage: Eukaryota; Fungi; Basidiomycota; Agaricomycetes; Agaricales; Mycenaceae. The record is from the annotation of a GenBank genome assembly.